RNAcentral lists this long non-coding RNA (1818 nucleotides) under Medicago truncatula (barrel medic). RNAcentral describes it as "lncRNA gene25328". Lineage: Eukaryota; Viridiplantae; Streptophyta; Magnoliopsida; Fabales; Fabaceae. The record is from RNAcentral.
GUUUAUUUCAGUUUCAAUUUAAAGUCCUGCUGCUAAUGAACGAAAAUACUGCAUACUUUUGGAUCUUUAUUUAUGACAAUGCCAAAUUAAUGCUUUGAUUGUUUUACCGUAUGCUUGACUGAAGCAUCAAAUUUUUGCUUUGGUAAAAUUUGUCCCAGAACAUGUUCUACUCGGCUUUGUGUCGGUCGGUUAGAAUCUUUACCAAACACAUUAUAAGUGAUGACAUUGGUUGACUACUUAAUUUAAUGCUGAUUUUUGUUAAUCAAUUUAUUCUCGCAAGUUAUUUUCUCAUAAUUUUGAUUUUGAAUCUCUGUUGGUGAUGAUGAUGGUGAGAAGUGGUGACAAGAGAGCCACGUUAUCAUAGUUUCAUAUGAUUGCGCCAUUUCUCCUAUUUUUGUUGAUACCAUGAAAUGUUAAAGGUUUUAUCAAAGAUGUUUAUAACUAGAACAUUGGAUGAUGGGAUUUGGUCAUGUUAUUGCAUGAACUUGAAUUUCAAAUUGGAAGCUUUACAUUUUGAUGUAUGAAAUGGUUAUGUGCAACAACAAUAGUACACUAGGGUAGCAUCUCUAUCACCCCAAUGUGUAUCUGUCUUUAGUCUGUUUAGUGGUGUUAAGAUACGGAAAAUGCAAUGUCAUAUUUACUCUUGUAUAGUAUGUCCCUCUGUUUGAUGUAAAACUACGACAUAGUUGGCUGGUCUGUGUUCAGCUGUUGAACAUGAGCUGUCUGUUUGCAAAGAAGGGUUUAUCUAAUGUUUGUUGGUGGCUGAAGCUUGGUGCUCAAUGGUUACAAAUUACAAUGAAGCUAUUGACCUUGGUUAUUUGUGUGCAUUCUAUGUCAUUAGAAACAAUGAUGGGAAGGGAAUUAGAAACAGAUAUUAGACACCUAAGGUGUCUCUGUGUGUUCAGCAGUUGAAAUUUUAAAGAUCGACGAUUUGUACUGAAGAUCAAUUACGGGCUGUGGAACAUCAUAAAGCAUGAUUCACACAUCGCUUAUCUGUAAAACUGCAUGCAUUUUUCCCUUACAUGAUUUCGGACUGCAUGACGUAUUCAUCCUGCUAGUUGGCUAAAGCUUCAUGAUCAUAAGCCACAUUCUGCUCGAGAUGUGUAUUGCCUCAUGGCCCAUGUACAUCAUCUUUGGCCCAUUAUUCCUUUUCUAGGUCUGUUAUCGCUGUCCUCAUAACGACAUCAUAUGACAAACCAUUGAAACAUUUUGAGAUAGUUUCAUCCAUGAACGUUAUGGUAACAAGCACGAACCAAGUAAUCGAGGAUAACUACCCGGGAACAGCUAAAGGUGGUUACAAGCCUGGCAUAAAAGAGGAAGGGGACAAGAGAAUAUGUAGAUAACUCAUUGUCAAGAAAUCAAACGCCUAAUCUUGAGGGUAACACAUCAUCGGCGGAGGUCAUUAAUAUUCCAUCCGGGAACAGCUUUGAUAGAAGACAACAACAACAACAACAAGAUCUUUUCCACUAGAUGGAGUUGUGUACGUGGAUCAAAUGAUGCCAUUGAGUUCUAUAACCAGUGGUAUGAAAUGCCGCUUUGAUUUAAAUCCUUUUAAAUUGGGCUAUACUCUGUCUCAAGUGCUCUUGUAAUAACUGGGAUUUGGCCACAUAUCCAACCCUACCUAGUGGGGAAAUACUUUGGUUGUUGUUAUCUCCAGAGAACUUGGAAGAGAAACCAAAUCAUGCUGCAGUGUAGCUACCAUUAAUGAAACCAACCGUGUUACAUUUUCUUAUGCAGCAAUGUAGCUACCGGUAAACUAGCAUAGCAGUGUACCACCUAACAACAUGUUUCACCCCAACCAUCACUAUCGUAAACGGC